Molecule: ribosomal RNA, 253 nt
Filed under: uncultured bacterium
Lineage: Bacteria
Description: partial 16S ribosomal RNA
Rfam family: Bacterial small subunit ribosomal RNA
Source: RNAcentral
UACGUAGGGGACGAGCGUUGUCCGGAUUCAUUGGGCGUAAAGGGUGCGUAGGCGGCGCGGUAAGUCGGGCGUGAAAUCUCGGAGCUUAACUCCGAAACUGCAUUCGAUACUGCCGUGCUUGAGGACUGGAGAGGAGACUGGAAUUUACGGUGUAGCGGUGAAAUGCGUAGAUAUCGUAAGGAAGACCAGUGGCGAAGGCGGGUCUCUGGACAGUUCCUGACGCUGAGGCACGAAGGUCAGGGGAGCAAACGGG